UCGCUUCUCAUGACUGUUAUGUUCACCACCUUCUGACCUUUGAUAGCUAGGUCAUCCAACAUUUCCUCCACCUUUUCAUCAUCUGUGAGUUCUUCCAUUCCUGAAACCCCAACACCUGGAUCUCUAACAUAAUACAUGAAGUCUGUCAUCCCAUAUCCUUCAAGCUCUAUCAGUGCAAUUAGAUUAUAAAAUGUUAUAUCAUCCACAUUUAGGCAUCUUUCAAG
RNAcentral lists this long non-coding RNA (224 nucleotides) under Hordeum vulgare. RNAcentral describes it as "long non-coding RNA (HVUL_LNC018344)". The record is from RNAcentral. Lineage: Eukaryota; Viridiplantae; Streptophyta; Magnoliopsida; Poales; Poaceae.